GUACAAGCCAAAUUAAGGUGAAACCGCGAAAGGCUCAUUAAAUCAGUUAUGGUUCCUUAGAUCGUACCCACAUUUACUUGGAUAACUGUGGUAAUUCUAGAGCUAAUACAUGCAAACAGAGCUCCGCCCGGAGACGGAAGGAGUGCUUUUAUUAGAUCAAAACCAAUCGGUGGCGGGCUUGCUCGUCAUCGUACAUUUUGGUGACUCUGAAUAACUUUUUGCUGAUCGCACGGUCUCGCACCGGCGACGCAUCUUUCAAAUGUCUGCCUUAUCAACUGUCGAUGGUAGGUUCUGCGCCUACCAUGGUUGUAACGGGUAACGGGGAAUCAGGGUUCGAUUCCGGAGAGGGAGCCUGAGAAACGGCUACCACAUCCAAGGAAGGCAGCAGGCGCGCAAAUUACCCACUCCCGGCACGGGGAGGUAGUGACGAAAAAUAACGAUACGGGACUCAUCCGAGGCCCCGUAAUCGGAAUGAGUACACUCUAAACCCUUUAACGAGGAUCAAUUGGAGGGCAAGUCUGGUGCCAGCAGCCGCGGUAAUUCCAGCUCCAAUAGCGUAUAUUAAAGUUGUUGCGGUUAAAAAGCUCGUAGUCGAAUCUGUGUCCCGCGCCGUCGGUUCAUCGCUCGCGGUGUUCAACUGACGUGCCGCGGGACGUCCUGCCGGUGGGCUUAGCUCGUUCGCGGGCGGCCCAACUUCAAAUCCCACCGCGGUGCUCUUGACUGAGUGUCGAGGUGGGCCGGCACGUUUACUUUGAACAAAUUAGAGUGCUUAAAGCAGGCUAAAAUUUCGCCUGAAUACUGUGUGCAUGGAAUAAUGGAAUAGGACCUCGGUUCUAUUUUGUUGGUUUUCGGAACUCCGAGGUAAUGAUUAAUAGGAACGGAUGGGGGCAUUCGUAUUGCGACGUUAGAGGUGAAAUUCUUGGAUCGUCGCAAGACGGACAGAAGCGAAAGCAUUUGCCAAAAACGCUUUCAUUGAUCAAGAACGAAAGUUAGAGGUUCGAAGGCGAUCAGAUACCGCCCUAGUUCUAACCAUAAACGAUGCCAGCUAGCGAUCCGCCGACGUUCCUCCGAUGACUCGGCGGGCAGCUUCC
RNAcentral lists this ribosomal RNA (1091 nucleotides) under Laccobius pluvialis. RNAcentral's name for it is "SSU rRNA". It matches the Rfam family "Eukaryotic small subunit ribosomal RNA", at positions 63 to 1091 of the family's 1831-position model. Lineage: Eukaryota; Metazoa; Arthropoda; Insecta; Coleoptera; Hydrophilidae. The record is from RNAcentral. RNAcentral also lists the same sequence under 1 other name.